Molecule: ribosomal RNA, 493 nt
Filed under: uncultured bacterium
Lineage: Bacteria
Description: partial 16S ribosomal RNA
Rfam family: Bacterial small subunit ribosomal RNA
Source: RNAcentral
GACGAACGCUGGCGGCGUGCUUAACACAUGCAAGUCGAACGGUGAAGCACCUUCCUUUUGGUGGGUGUGGAUGAGUGGCGAACGGGUGAGUAACACGUGAGUAACCUGCCCCCUUCUUCUGGAUAACCGCAUGAAAGUGUGGCUAAUACGGGAUAUUCUGGGUCUGUCGCAUGGCGGGCCUGGGAAAGAUAUUGUUUCGGUGGGGGAUGGGCUCGCGGUCUAUCAGCUUGUUGGUGGGGUGAUGGCCUACCAAGGCGGUGACGGGUAGCCGGCCUGAGAGGGUGGACGGUCACACUGGGACUGAGACACGGCCCAGACUCCUACGGGAGGCAGCAGUGGGGAAUAUUGCACAAUGGGCGCAAGCCUGAUGCAGCGACGCCGCGUGAGGGAUGGAGGCCUUCGGGUUGUAAACCUCUUUCGCCAGUGAAGCAGGCCUGUCCCUUCUGUGGGUGGGUUGACGGUAGCUGGAUAAGAAGCGCCGGCUAACUACGUG